AGUUUGAUCCUGGCUCAGGACCAACGCUGGCGGCGUGCCUAAUGCAUGCAAGUCGAACGUGGCGCUGUAAGGCGUGCGCGUGGCGGACGGGUGAGGAACACGUGGGGAACCUGCCCUGGGGUGGGGGGUAGCCCUCGGAAACGGGGGGUAAUUCCGCAUACGCUCAUCGACUGGUGGGGUUGGUGAGGAAAGUCGCGAGACGCCCUGGGAGGGACCUGCGGCCGAUUAGCUAGACGGUGGGGUAGUGGCUUACCGUGGCGAUGAUCGGUAACUGGUCUGAGAGGACGGCCAGUCACAGGGGGACUGAGAAACGGCCCCCACUCCUACGGGAGGCAGCAGCAAGGAAUUUUCCGCAAUGGGCGAAAGCCUGACGGAGCAACGCCGCGUGCGGGAUGACGCCCUUCGGGGUGUAAACCGCUUUUCUUGGGGACGAAGGACGUGACGGUACCCGAGGAAGAAGGCCCGGCAAACUACGUGCCAGCAGCCGCGGUAAUACGUAGGGGUCGAGCGUUGUCCGGAGUUAUUGGGCGUAAAGCGCGCGCAGGCGGUUGAUCGAGUCUGACGUGAAAGUUCCCGGCUCAACCGGGAAAGGUCGUUGGAUACUGGUUGACUUGAGGACGGCAGGGGUUGGUGGAAUUCCCGGUGUAGUGGUGAAAUGCGUAGUGAUCGGGAGGAACACCCGUGGCGA
This 688-nucleotide ribosomal RNA is filed under the name uncultured bacterium. RNAcentral's name for it is "bacterial SSU rRNA". It matches the Rfam family "Bacterial small subunit ribosomal RNA", at positions 10 to 718 of the family's 1533-position model. The record is from RNAcentral.